GUCCUAACUAUUUCUUGUUUCUACACGGAGUCUGGAUGAUUGCGCGAAUGGGUGGCAAUCUUCGGAGUCCGUUUCUGAAAUUUCUUAGCGAACGAAGGAAGAGCCGGGAAUUCAUCUUUUGUUAUAUCGAAUCGAUGAAUUAUUGGAAGAUUGGCAUUUUCGAAGGAGAUCCGAUCGAAUCGUCUUCCGCAAACAAAAGAUCCGCAUCCCAAGAUCACGUUGGCAUUAAAUACGAAUAGGUGUACAUCGCGCGUGUACACGUACGUACGUACGUACGUACAUACGUCUCUACCGGUGUCGAGGCGUUACGUACACCUAUGCAAAUCCUUCCGCUACACCCUUCCGAUGACAUCAUCUGCCCGGUGGUAUAUACGAAGCCUGGAUAUCGUUACGCUGCUGUACCUUCGCCAGCUAUAGGGAGAAGAGGGUACGAGGCCUAAGGAUCGAUAAGGUUGGUUCGUUGACUAUAACCCGAAGGCAAUAUAUUCGUAAUUAGUCGACGUCAACUGUUGCCUGACUAGUCCAAAAUUAUUACGUUCAAUUGGCCCGGAGCACGUACGAGAAUCGGGGCCGCGAACUGCGUUGCUACCAAAUUUCUACCCCCGCGAAAAUUAUCGCGGAAAUGACGGCUGGGAAGCCGUGUCCCAGCGCGGUUCCAUUUGAUUUGUUCGCAGGUACGGGAUUCGUCGAGAUUACAAACUCUUGCGGAAACGAUUAUUUUUCUUUAUUGCAGUCAACGUGAAAACAGAAAAUCAGAAAACGUCGCUAUCGUCAAAUCGACGCUAAUCGCUCCUGAUUCCGACGCAAGUGCACAUCUCGUUCACGCAAACUCCUCCGUCGUGUCUGUAAUGCUGACAGCUUAGGUUGCACCUGUUGUGGUUACAGGAAUAAUCAAAAACGUCGCGUCGACGUCUUGUCAAGGUCAGUUUAUCGUCGACGGAUAAUCCCGAGUCCGUGUCGAUAUCUCGGAGAUUAACUGAAAGAGAAGAGGGAGAUGAUGAAAUUUUCACCGCCGUGAUUGUCGCGGUUCGGUCCGAUUCGUCCGAUUCUCAACUCACCACUUUUUUGCUCUCCUCCUCUGACGAGAGCUUCGAAAACACGUUCGGAUUCGAACGGCCCCGCGGACGCGUAAGCGACGAUCGCCAGGACAAUGGCGACUGCGAAAAUCACCCUCAUGACGUAUCCGUUUUAACAGACGU
RNAcentral lists this unclassified non-coding RNA (1199 nucleotides) under Athalia rosae (coleseed sawfly). RNAcentral's name for it is "misc RNA ENSAEAG00005003442.1". The record is from RNAcentral. Lineage: Eukaryota; Metazoa; Arthropoda; Insecta; Hymenoptera; Athaliidae.